This 467-nucleotide ribosomal RNA is filed under the name uncultured bacterium. Its description in RNAcentral is "partial 16S ribosomal RNA". It matches the Rfam family "Bacterial small subunit ribosomal RNA", at positions 28 to 507 of the family's 1533-position model. The record is from RNAcentral.
GACGAACGCUGGCGGCGUGCUUAACACAUGCAAGUCGAACGGAAAGGCCUCUUUCGGGGGGUACUCGAGUGGCGAACGGGUGAGUAACACGUGAGUAACCUGCCCUUGACUUUGGGAUAACUUCAGGAAACUGGGGCUAAUACCGGAUAGGAGCUCCUGCUGCAUGGUGGGGGUUGGAAAGUUUCGGCGGUUGGGGAUGGACUCGCGGCUUAUCAGCUUGUUGGUGGGGUAGUGGCUUACCAAGGCUUUGACGGGUAGCCGGCCUGAGAGGGUGACCGGCCACAUUGGGAUUGAGAUACGGCCCAGACUCCUACGGGAGGCAGCAGUGGGGAAUAUUGCACAAUGGGUGGAAGCCUGAUGCAGCAACGCCGUGUGCGGGAGGACGGCCUUCGGGUUGUAAACCGCUUUCGCUCAUGACGAAGCUUUGUGUGACGGUAGUGGGUAAAGAAGCACCGGCUAACUACGUG